CAGCCGCCGCGGGAAUACGUAGGUGGCAAGCGUUGUCCGGAAUUAUUGGGCGUAAAGGGCUCGCUGGCGGUUUCUUAAGUCUGAUGUGAAAGCCCCCGGCUCAACCGGGGAGGGUCAUUGGAAACUGGGAAACUUGAGUGCAGAGGAGGAGAGUGGAAUUCCACGUGUAGCGGUGAAAUGCGUAGAGAUGUGGAGGAACACCAGUGGCGAAGGCGACUCUCUGGUCUGUAACUGACGCUGAGGAGCGAAAGCGUGGGGAGCGAACAGGAUUAGAUACCCCUGUAGUCCCUGUCUCUUAUAC
Molecule: ribosomal RNA, 301 nt
Filed under: uncultured bacterium
Lineage: Bacteria
Description: partial 16S ribosomal RNA
Rfam family: Bacterial small subunit ribosomal RNA
Source: RNAcentral